AUUGAACGCUGGCGGCAGGCUUAACACAUGCAAGUCGAGCGGGGAGAUGUAGCUUGCUCCAUAUCCUCGCGGCCGACGGGUGAGUAAUGCUUAGGAAUCUGCCUAUUAUUUGGGGACAGCAUUCCGAAAGGAAUGCUAAUACCACAUCCGCUCUACGAGGGAAAGCAGGGGAUCUUCGGAGCUAGCGCUAAUAGAUGUGCCUAAGACGGAUUAGCUAGUUGGUGGGGUAAAGGCCUACCAAGGCGACGAUCUGUAGCGGGUCUGAGAGGAUGAUCCGCCACACUGGGACUGAGACACGGCCCAGACUCCUACGGGAGGCAGCAGUGGGGAAUAUUGGACAAUGGGCGCAAGCCUGAUCCAGCCAUGCCGCGUGUGUGAAGAAGGCCUUUUGGUUGUAAAGCACUUUAAGCGAGGAGGAGGCUCCUUUAGUUAAUACCUAAAGAGAGUGGACGUUACUCGCAGAAUAAGCACCGGCUAACUCUGUG
This 485-nucleotide ribosomal RNA is filed under the name uncultured bacterium. RNAcentral's name for it is "partial 16S ribosomal RNA". It matches the Rfam family "Bacterial small subunit ribosomal RNA", at positions 30 to 507 of the family's 1533-position model. The record is from RNAcentral.